AAACCCCCUCGCCGAAAGACUAAGGUUUCCUGAUCAACGCUAAUCGGAUCAGGGUCAGUCGGGUCCUAAGGCUCAGCCGAACGGCGAUGCCGAUGGCAGAAACGGUUAAUAUUCCGUUACUACCUUCAGGAGUGACGUGGAGACGCAGUAGUGACAGUGCCGCCAUCUGACGGAAUAGAUGGUUGAAGGGUGUAGGAGUCGAUCAUGGCAGGCAAAUCCACCAUGAGAUCCGAACCUGACAGUAUGCCGCGUCCUUCGGGACAAGGCAAUAGUGCGCGUAAGCAUGCUGCCGAGAAAAUCCGCUAAACUUAAUCCUGCAGGUACCCGUACCGCAAACGGACACACGUAGUCGGGAUGAAUAUUCUAAGGCGCUUGAGUGAUUCACGGUUAAGGAACUAGGCAAACUGACCCUGUAACUUCGGGAUAAAGGGUCCCUACCCUUUUAUGGGAGGGCGCAGAGAAUCGGUCCAGGCAACUGUUUAACAAAAACACAGGGCUGUGCCAAAUCGAAAGAUCCAGUAUACAGCCUGACACCUGCCCGGUGCUGGAAGGUUAAGAGGAGAUGUCAUCGAUAAGAGAAGCGUUGAAUUGAAGCCCCAGUAAACGGCGGCCGUAACUAUAACGGUCCUAAGGUAGCGAAAUUCCUUGUCGGGUAAGUUCCGACCUGCACGAAUGGUGUAAUGAUCUGGACGCUGUCUCAACCGUGAGCUCAGUGAAAUUGUAGUAUCGGUGAAGAUGCCGAUUACCCGCGAUGGGACGAAAAGACCCCGUGAACCUUUACUAUAGCUUAUCAUUGAAUCUGGGCACGUGAUGUGUAGGAUAGGUCGGAGGCUUUGAAGCAGGUACGCCAGUAUUUGUGGAGCCGCUGUUGAAAUACGACCCUUUAUUUGUUUGGAUUCUAACCCGUGGAACGGGGACAUUGAUUGGUGGGUAGUUUGACUGGGGUGGUCGCCUCCAAAAGCGUAACGGAGGCUUCUAAAGGUGCCCUCCGGCCGAUUGGUAACCGGCCUUAGAGUGUAAUGGCAUAAGGGCGCUUGACUGGGAGACUAACAAGUCGAUCAGGUAGGAAACUAGAGCAUAGUGAUCCGGUGUUUCCGUAUGGAAGGGACAUCGCUCAAAGGAUAAAAGGUACUCCGGGGAUAACAGGCUGAUCCCUCCCAAGAGCUCAUAUCGACGGAGUGGUUUGGCACCUCGAUGUCGGCUCGUCACAUCCUGGGGCUGGAGAAGGUCCCAAG
This 1235-nucleotide ribosomal RNA is filed under the name human gut metagenome. RNAcentral's name for it is "bacterial LSU rRNA". It matches the Rfam family "Bacterial large subunit ribosomal RNA", at positions 1326 to 2569 of the family's 2925-position model. The record is from RNAcentral.